Molecule: ribosomal RNA, 250 nt
Filed under: uncultured prokaryote
Description: partial 16S ribosomal RNA
Rfam family: Bacterial small subunit ribosomal RNA
Source: RNAcentral
UACGUAGGGAGCAAGCGUUAUCCGGAUUUACUGGGUGUAAGGGAGCGUAGGCGGCCUUGCAAGUCAGAUGUGAAAGCCCGGGGCUCAACUCCGGGACUGCAUUUGAAACUGCGAGGCUGGAGUACAGGAGAGGCAGGCGGAAUUCCUAGUGUAGCGGUGAAAUGCGUAGAUAUUAGGAAGAACACCGGUGGCGAAGGCGGCCUGCUGGACUGGAUACUGACGCUGAGGCUCGAAAGCGUGGGGAGCAAAC